This 70-nucleotide transfer RNA is filed under the name Ictidomys tridecemlineatus (thirteen-lined ground squirrel). RNAcentral describes it as "Spermophilus tridecemlineatus (thirteen-lined ground squirrel) tRNA". It matches the Rfam family "tRNA". From Rfam's summary of the family: Transfer RNA (tRNA) molecules are approximately 80 nucleotides in length. Their secondary structure includes four short double-helical elements and three loops (D, anti-codon, and T loops). Lineage: Eukaryota; Metazoa; Chordata; Mammalia; Rodentia; Sciuridae. The record is from Rfam by way of RNAcentral.
UGGAGUGUAGUUCAGUGGUAGAACACAUGCCUAGCAUGUUCAUACCCUGGUUCAAUCACCAGCACUGCAC